GGUGAACGCUGGCGGCGUGCCUAAUACAUGCAAGUCGAGCGAACGGACGAGAAGCUUGCUUUUCUGAUGUUAGCGGCGGACGGGUGAGUAACACGUGGAUAACCUACCUAUUAGACUGGGAUAACUUCGGGAAACCGGAGCUAAUACCGGAUAAUAUUUUGAACCGCAUGGUUCAAAAGUGAAUGACGGUCUUGCUGUCACUUAUAGAUGGAUCCGCGCUGCAUUAGCUAGUUGGUAAGGUAACGGCUUACCAAGGCAACGAUGCAUAGCCGACCUGAGAGGGUGAUCGGCCACACUGGAACUGAGACACGGUCCAGACUCUACGGGAGGCAGCAGUAGGGAAUCUUCCGCAAUGGGCGAAAGCCUGACGGAGCAACGCCGCGUGAGUGAUGAAGGUCUUCGGAUCGUAAAACUCUGUUAUUAGGGAAGAACAUAUGUGUAAGUAACUGUGCACAUCUUGACGGUACCUAAUCAGAAAGCCACGGCUAACUACGUG
RNAcentral lists this ribosomal RNA (496 nucleotides) under uncultured bacterium. Its description in RNAcentral is "partial 16S ribosomal RNA". It matches the Rfam family "Bacterial small subunit ribosomal RNA", at positions 28 to 507 of the family's 1533-position model. The record is from RNAcentral.